GAUGAAGAACGUAGCGAAAUGCGAUAAGUAGUGUGAAUUGCAGAAUUCAGUGAAUCAUCGAAUCUUUGAACGCACAUUGCGCCCUUUGGUAUUCCUUAGGGCAUGCCUGUUCGAGCGUCAUUUAAACCUUCAAGCUAAGCUUGGUGUUGGGUGACUGUCCGCUUCACGGCGGACUCGCCUCAAAAUUAUUGGCGGCCGGUACAUUGGCUUCGAGCGCAGCAGAGACGCGAACUCGGGCCCGUCGUAUUGGCUCCCAGAAGCUAUCUUCACAAUUUUGACCUCGGAUCAGGUAGGGAUACCCGCUGAACUUAAGCAUAUCAAUAAGCGGAGGA
This 332-nucleotide unclassified non-coding RNA is filed under the name soil metagenome. RNAcentral's name for it is "partial contains 5.8S ribosomal RNA, internal transcribed spacer 2, and large subunit ribosomal RNA". The stretch from base 1 to 120 matches the Rfam family "5.8S ribosomal RNA", at positions 35 to 154 of the family's 154-position model. The record is from RNAcentral.